RNAcentral lists this transfer RNA (54 nucleotides) under Demodex folliculorum. RNAcentral's name for it is "tRNA-Phe". Lineage: Eukaryota; Metazoa; Arthropoda; Arachnida; Trombidiformes; Demodicidae. The record is from RNAcentral.
UCUCAGUUGAGCUUAAAAGUGUUACUUUGAAGGGGUAAAGAUUUAUGCUGGGGA